RNAcentral lists this unclassified non-coding RNA (253 nucleotides) under uncultured Bacteroidota bacterium. RNAcentral's name for it is "uncultured Bacteroidetes bacterium contains 16S-23S intergenic spacer region". It matches the Rfam family "Bacterial small subunit ribosomal RNA", at positions 524 to 776 of the family's 1533-position model. The record is from RNAcentral. Lineage: Bacteria; Pseudomonadati; Bacteroidota.
UACGGAGGAUGCAAGCGUUAUCCGGAUUUAUUGGGUUUAAAGGGUGCGUAGGCGGAAUUGUAAGUCAGUGGUGAAAUCCCGUAGCUUAACUACGGAACUGCCAUUGAUACUGCUAUUCUUGAAUGUAGUUGAGGUAGGCGGAAUGUGUGGUGUAGCGGUGAAAUGCAUAGAUAUCACACAGAACACCGAUUGCGAAGGCAGCUUACUAAACUAUUAUUGACGCUGAGGCACGAAAGCGUGGGGAGCGAACAGG